GGAGAGAUGGAUCAGUGGUUAAGAGCACUGACUGUACUUUCAGAGGACCUGGGUUCAAUUCCCAGCAUCUACA
This is a non-coding RNA of Mesocricetus auratus (golden hamster), 73 nucleotides long. NCBI's taxonomy places the organism in Eukaryota, Metazoa, Chordata, Mammalia, Rodentia, Cricetidae. The record is from Rfam.